This 433-nucleotide ribosomal RNA is filed under the name uncultured bacterium. RNAcentral's name for it is "partial 16S ribosomal RNA". It matches the Rfam family "Bacterial small subunit ribosomal RNA", at positions 29 to 507 of the family's 1533-position model. The record is from RNAcentral.
AACGAACGCUGGCGGCAUGCCUAACACAUGCAAGUCGAACGAGACCUUCGGGUCUAGUGGCGCACGGGUGCGUAACGCGUGGGAACCUGCCCUUAGGUUCGGAAUAACUCCCCGAAAGGGGUGCUAAUACCGGAUAAUGUUUUCGGACCAAAGAUUUAUCGCCUUUGGAUGGGCCCGCGUUGGAUUAGCUAGUUGGUAGGGUAAAAGCCUACCAAGGCGACGAUCCAUAGCUGGUCUGUGAGGAUGAUCAGCCACACUGGGACUGAGACACGGCCCAGACUCCUACGGGAGGCAGCAGUGGGGAAUAUUGGACAAUGGGCGAAAGCCUGAUCCAGCAAUGCCGCGUGAGUGAUGAAGGCCUUAGGGUUGUAAAGCUCUUUUACCCGGGAUGAUAAUGACAGUACCGGGAGAAUAAGCUCCGGCUAACUCCGUG